CAGGACGAACGCUGGCGGCGUGCCUAACACGUGCAAGUCGAGCGAGGAGAUUCCUUCGGGAUGAUCCUAGCGGCGGACGGGUGAGUAACACGUGGGCAACCUGCCUCAUAGAGAGGAAUAGCCUUCCGAAAGGGAGAUUAAUACCUCAUAACAUUGCAGUUUCGCAUGGAACAGCAAUUAAAGGAGUAAUCCGCUAUGAGAUGGGCCCGCGGCGCAUUAGCUAGUUGGUGAGGUAACGGCUCACCAAGGCGACGAUGCGUAGCCGACCUGAGAGGGUGAUCGGCCACAUUGGGACUGAGACACGGCCCAGACUCCUACGGGAGGCAGCAGUGGGGAAUAUUGCACAAUGGGGGGAAACCCUGAUGCAAGCAACGCCGCGUGAGUGAUGACGGCCUUCGGGUUGUAAAGCUCUGUCUUCAGGGACGAUAAUGACGGUACCUGAGGAGGAAGCCACGGCUAACUACGUGCCAGCAGCCGC
This 478-nucleotide ribosomal RNA is filed under the name uncultured bacterium. RNAcentral's name for it is "bacterial SSU rRNA". It matches the Rfam family "Bacterial small subunit ribosomal RNA", at positions 25 to 518 of the family's 1533-position model. The record is from RNAcentral.